This 1202-nucleotide long non-coding RNA is filed under the name Mus spicilegus (steppe mouse). RNAcentral's name for it is "lncRNA (ENSMSIG00000022957.1)". Lineage: Eukaryota; Metazoa; Chordata; Mammalia; Rodentia; Muridae. The record is from RNAcentral.
AACUGACUCUCCUCCAAAACAAAACAAAACAAACAAACAAACAAAAAAACAGAAUAAUCUUAAUGAUUCUAUAUGCCAGUUGAAGUUCUUAGCAUAUCUACCACAGUGGGGAAAACUAAGUCUGGUAACCCUGACAAACUUUUGUUAGAGAAAAACCUAGAACCUGUCACAGCAGUGAUCUGAGGUAAGCGCUCUGUUCUGCAGGCAUUGCUGUCUGGGAGGAACCGUGAGGACAGGAGUCUCAACUGCUGUCAUCUUUCUGCCGCUAUAGCAGAUACCAGAGAUGAACAAUGAAAAGAUUAUCUUCUAAACUGGUCAGUAAUGGUGGACCACUUUAAUCCCAGCACUCAGGAGGCAGAGGCAGGCAGAUCUCUGAGUUUGAAGUCAGCCUGGUCUACAGAGCAAGUUCAAAGACAGCCCAGGGCUAACUUUGGUUCUCUUUGUUAUUAGAGGUUUCCUUUCAUAGUCGCUUGGCCACAUUUCUUUUUUUUUUCUAACAGAUACACAAAGUGGUAGGACGUUGAGGCAGAGAAAACCUAGUCACCCCAUGGAUGGGAAAUGAAAAGAGACAAAGAAUGACUGUGCAUCAGUCUGGUCCCGGGACACAUCCUCCAUGACCGGAAGAGCUGACUCGAGGAUGGAGUAGCGGGUCCACCACUUUCCACUAGCGCCUGCUAGAGACCAAACAUACAGAAUAAUGGAGUGCACGAGCAUUUGGGGGCAUAUGAAGAGCCUCGGAAGCAACAUCUCUCAUGGUACUCAGUCUAGUCCUCCGAGAUGUUGACUGGGAAGCCUGGAAGGUGUCCUGAGAACCAGAGGAAGAGCAAAUAGCUUUGGCUCCUCCACUUGGGUCCGCAUUAUGUUAUUUCCACAGGUUGAAUCUUCCUGAGAGAGAAGGCUGCUAGAGAAAAUCAGGGCCACCUGCGUCCACGACUGUAUUUUGUGACUCCAAGAACCUUCUUCUUAUGGAGACGGAGUAUGGCCCAGAGAACAACUGCCCCAAAAGGAGUCUUUGCUGUUGGACGUUUUUAAGGAAUUGCUUUAAUCCUAGCUACGGUCCUUCAUUCCUUUCUAUGUUUCUACUGCGGGCUGCCAGUUCUUCAAAUGGCCUGACUCCACCUGCAUUCUGCCCCGCAAUGGCCAACUUCAAUAGAAUUAAACGUCACAAACGGCAGUUUGUAACAUCUUCAUGAAGAGAUCCA